GUAUGUAAGUAUGCCAUUUUACCCGAGUACUAAGUGGGCCAUUUUGCCCAUUUUCGAUUUUUUUAGUUUUAUACCGAAAAAUCUAAAACCGUUCAAAGCCAACUUAUUUCAGUAAAUUAAUAAGAAAUACUUCAUGCAUACAAUGUUUUUUAUUCUUUAUUUUGCAAAAAAAAAUUUAACAAAAUUUCAAAGAGUGUACUUUUUGAGGUGGCUAGAGACAGUUUGACUUGUCAAAUUUCUAAUAAUGGCUUUAAGUUGCUAAAGUUUCGUAUAUGUCAGUUUUGCCAGAUGAACUAAAGAAUCGCAUUCAUAAAACCUUUUAAUUUUAUGUUCGAUUCUAUAAUUUCUAUUAAGGGGGCCAUUUUAGGCCACUUUAGGACGUUUCGUAACUGGCAAAAAUUUAAAUUCCAUUCAUUGAAUGUAAGCAGAGCUAUGAAGUUUUAUGGGCAGCCAUGGUAAUUGAGUUAAAAAUUCAUAGCGAAAAACAAAAUUUUGUAAAUCCCCUUAUCAAAAGUUCAUCUUAAAACAAAACUCCUUUUGAAAUUCACCUGUUAAACAUUAGCAUAUUAUUCAAUCGACAAUACUUUGAGUUUGUUUACUUCCAGUGGCUACUGUUUCUGUUUCAUAUGCGUAUAAUUUAACCCUACAUUUUGUUUCCCUCUAGAAUAAUCUAGCUCACCAGCAUGCAGAUACAAUACAUUGUGGUAGAAACUAGAUACAAUAAUUCAUCGUUGUUAUUAGCAGACCUUCCUCUCUAUGUUUCUAUUCUGUAUCUGUACCUAUACAAAAAAAUUUGAAAAAAAAAAUAUCUCGCAGCCAGACUGGAGCACAAGCUCCAACAUAGAUUAUGGCGGAGGAGGUAGAGAUAUGUCUGCUGCUGUUUCGACUGCCAUAGUUUCAUAUUGGUUGGACGCUUGCAUGAAUUCUCAAAAUGUAUCUUUCAAUUAAUUCACUUUGAGAGCUCUAGCACGUCGGCUGUCGUUGUCGAUUAUCAUUUUGAUUCCCAUAAUACACCUCUAUAGAACUCCGAAUAGUACCUUUAUUUGUGUCGUAUAUGCCUCGUGCCUUGUACCUUGCAUCGGUUGUGUUGAAGUAGCUCGAGGAUUUAUCAUCUUAAUCGGCGUGGAAAUUGUUUUUAUCCGAUCGGUCGGUCGGUGUAGAGCUCAGAAAGUUGUUUCAAUAAAAUUGGCUGGUGUUUGUUUGUGUUGGAAUAUCGACGUCGUCGUCGUCAUCGACGUCAUAGUGUGUUUUGUUUACUUGUUUGUUUGUUUUUCGAUAAAGAAUUUCCUGGCGGUGCAUCCUUAAGGAUUAAAAGAGUAUAUACAAGUGCGCGGUUUGUAUCAAAAUUUUGUAUUCUCUCUUUGAGUUGGAUGGAAAUUUGGUACCUACAAGAAACCAUUAUGAAUCAUCAAUAAAUAAAAAGACUAUAAACAAAAAAAAAAAAAAAUUAAUUUUUGAUUGUAAAUUCGAAUGAAUAAAUAAAAAUAAAAAU
Long non-coding RNA from Episyrphus balteatus (marmalade hoverfly), 1492 nucleotides. RefSeq lists it as uncharacterized. The record is from RefSeq and is a predicted model, not a curated record. NCBI's taxonomy places the organism in Eukaryota, Metazoa, Arthropoda, Insecta, Diptera, Syrphidae. The transcript is spliced from 2 exons.